Podarcis lilfordi (Lilford's wall lizard) is the source of this 2374-nucleotide non-coding RNA. The record is from the annotation of a GenBank genome assembly. NCBI's taxonomy places the organism in Eukaryota, Metazoa, Chordata, Lepidosauria, Squamata, Lacertidae.
CUUAUUUUUCAGAAAUCCAUGCUGACUAUUGGUGAUCACAGCAUUCCUUUCUAGGUGCUCACAGACUGUUUGCUUAAUCAUCUGCUCCAGAAUCUUCCCUGGUAUUGAUGUCAGACUGACUGGGCGGUAAUUAUUUGGGUCCUCUCUUUUCCCCUUUUUGAAAAUAGGGACAACAUUUGCCCUCCUCCAGUCUGCCGGGACUUCGCCCGUUCUCCAGGAAUUCUCAAAGAUGACUGCCAGUGGUUCUGAGAUCACAUCUGCCAGUUCUUUUAAUACUCUUGGAUGCAGUUCAUCUGGCCCUGGAGACGAAAGCCUAUAAGGUGCCCGGAGAGCCUGGUGAGGAAAAGGCCCCCCAGGGAGAUGUCCUUGCAGAGCCUCUCCCCCUCUGGGCCUUUCCUGCUCCUUCUGGGGUGUUUGGUUUUUAGCCAAGAGAAAGCUUGCUCUUCUUGUCUCCUCUUCCCCCCUCAGUGACUUCACAGCUCUGCUGCAGUCCCUUCCCAGAUACAGAUCCAGUCGGGAUUCAGGCCUCAUCAUGGGACUGAAACUGCCUUGGUCGCGCUGGUCGAUGAUCUCCGGCGGGCUAGGGACAAAGGUGAGAGCUGUGUCCUAGUUCUGCUGGAUCUCUCAGCGGCUUUUGACACCAUCGACCAUAACAUCCUUCUGGACCGUCUUGAGGGGCUGGGAGCUGGGGGCACUGUCAUACAGUGGUUCCGCUCCUUCCUCCUGGGCCGUGUUCAGAAAGUGGUGGUGGGGGGUGAGUGUUCAGACCCCUGGGCUCUCACUUGUGGGGUGCCUCAGGGUUCUGUCCCAUCUGGUACGCAGGAUGAGACCCUAUCGGCCUACAGAAUGCCUUGCCAGAGUGGUGCAUGCUCUGGUUAUCUCCUGCUUGGACUACUGCAAUGUGCUCUAUGUGGGACUACCUUUGAAGGUGACUCGGAAACUACAACUAAUCCAGAACGUGGCAGCCAGACUGGUGACUGGGAGCGGCCGCAGAGACCAUAUAACACCAGUCUUGAAAGACCUACAUUGGCUCCCAGUACGUUUCCGAGCACAAUUCAGAGUAUUGGUGCUGACCUUGAAAGCCCUAAAUGGCCUCAGCCCAGUGUUCCUGAAGGAGCGUCUCCGCCCCCAUCAUUCUACCCGUACACUGAGGUCCAGCGCCGAGGGCCUUCUGGCUGAGGGCCUUCUCAGUGGUAGAACACCCUCCCAGCAGAUGUCAAAGAGAACAACAACUACCAGACUUUUAGAAGACAUCUGAAGGCAGCCCUGUUUAGGGAAGCUUUAAAUAUUUGAUGUAUUACAGUAUUUUAAUAUUUUUUUGGAAGCCGCCCAGAGUGGCUGGGGAGGCCCAGCCAGAUGGGCGGGGGUAUAAAUAAUAAAUUAUUAUUAUUAUUACACCCAAAGACACCCCAUGUGGUUUAGCAGACAGACUAAGAGCUCUGGAGCUGGAGGAGGGAGACCUGGGCCCAGUUCCCCCCAUGGCUAGGAGCUUUGGAGGGAGGUGGGGAAGAUGGGGAGUGAGAGGAGCUGGUUCUGGGUGGAAACAUCCACUCUGAGGAAAAGAUCACCAGCUAGAGAAAGGAGUCUCUGAGCUUAGUGGGAAGGACAGUGUGUGGUGUCCUGGGAGAGUAAAUCAGGCCAGGAAUGAACUGGGAGGCUGAGCCAGGAGAAGGAGGAGCUGGAAAGAGACCGGCUGCUGAGCUCUCAUCCCAGUCAGGAGGGGAGAGAUCCUUCUAGAAAGAGAAGACUCCCAAACCAGAGAUCCCUUGGGUCUUUGGCUUGGAGUACCUUGGGAGUAGGGUUGUCCAAGGGGUGUGUAACUGGCAGAAAGUGCCACCUUGUUAAGAACCAAAGUAUUACGUGAGAAACAACUGAGAAAACCUUGAAGGGAAUAACAUUGUAAACUGAAAUAUCCUACGUUUUAUCCACUCGUGUCAUAAACUUCCUUGUUAAAUAAAAUCGUUAAUGUUUAUUUGAAGAAAUCCUGCCUGAGACUCCCAAUUAGUAAGUUUUACCUCACGCAAGUCCCCCACAAGAUAAUCCGACGUAGUUGGAGGGCAUUUGUGGAAAUUGUGUUCUGUGAGGUGGGUGCACUAUAUUUAAGAGAGAGAACGGGCCCAAGGCUGCCGGGGGGAAAAGAGCCCUUGCGUCUUCGCAUAUUAAUUGAGGGCAGAGGUGGGAUAUGAAGUUAAAACCCACACAGAUCCUAUUUAGUUUUGAGCGGACUGGCAGACUUAAACAUUCAUGAGGAAAACUGGAUGCUGCACUUACGCCCACAGAUAUGUGGAAUUUUGAGUGAAAUAUACUCAGAUCUCAGAGAGGAUGAAACCUCUGAUUCCCUCACAUUUAAAGAGAGAGUGAAAGUGAGCUUUGG